UUUGCAUUCAUUAUUAAAUUCGCACUGGCGCCCAGUCGGUGAAUUCGUCUGUGAACGCACGCCAUAUCAAAGUGAACACGUUAACCCAUGUUAUACUAGCGUGGACACCGGCCUUACAGUGCACUGCACACACUGGUUAACUACAUAAUUGGUUGCAGCCACUGACAAUGUGUUGCUAUUAGAAAUUUAGUCGGCUGCACGUGCUCGUCCAAUAAUGUGUCAGAUGUUUCAGUAAAACACCUGUCGCCUGUCAACGGCAAUGGAUAGUCUAUAUAACUAACUUAGUCGGUGUGAUGUUAAGAUCUGUUGGUGCUUUACUGUUUGGGUAGGCUAUUGUAAGCUACGUGCCAGCAAGUACAAUUACGAUUUAGAGGAAAGGCAUUUGGUGGAGCUAUUGUUUGUAUAUCUGUUACUACACUUAUAGCUGCCAGUUUUUUCUGUGGUGAUUAUGAAGACCCGUCGCAUUAAAGUGAUGAAGCGAACAACUAAGCCAUGCCGACGAGAGAAGAGAAAAGCCAGGGCCUACUCCACUUACAUCUACAGACUUCAGAAGGAGGGAAACUCCCUGAGCAAGUGCAUCACCGUGCCCAAAUCUCUCUCCGGAGAAACGUUCGAACUUGUAGUGUCCGAAGCUGCACGCCUUUCAAAAUUCAACAAGCGGAAUGCCAUCACCCGCCAGGAGGUCCGCUGCGCUGUGCAAUCGCUACGCCCUAAAAUGAACUUUGGAAAGGAAGGCGCUUAAUGACUUGGGGGGGCCCUACUUGUUUUGCAAAGGUUUUGUAUGUAAUUUUAGCGAAUUUAAAUAAAUGUAUUUUAAUAAA
Anguilla rostrata (American eel) is the source of this 821-nucleotide long non-coding RNA. RefSeq lists it as uncharacterized. NCBI's taxonomy places the organism in Eukaryota, Metazoa, Chordata, Actinopteri, Anguilliformes, Anguillidae. The transcript has 2 exons. The record is from RefSeq and is a predicted model, not a curated record.